GACGAACGCUGGCGGCGUGCUUAACACAUGCAAGUCGUACGGUAAGGCCCUUUCGGGGGUACACGAGUGGCGAACGGGUGAGUAACACGUGAGUAACCUGCCCACAACUUUGGGAUAACGCUAGGAAACUGGUGCUAAUACUGGAUAUGUGCUCCUGCUGCAUGGUGGGGGUUGGAAAGCUCCGGCGGUUGUGGAUGGACUCGCGGCCUAUCAGCUUGUUGGUGGGGUAGUGGCCUACCAAGGCGGCGACGGGUAGCCGGCCUGAGAGGGUGACCGGCCACAGUGGGACUGAGAUACGGCCCAGACUCCUACGGGAGGCAGCAGUGGGGAAGAUUGCACAAUGGGCGCAAGCCUGAUGCAGCAACGCCGCGUGCGGGAGGACGGCCUUCGGGUUGUAAACCGCUUUCAGCAGGGACGAAGCUUUUUGUGACGGUACCUGCAGAAGAAGCACCGGCUAACUACGUG
RNAcentral lists this ribosomal RNA (465 nucleotides) under uncultured bacterium. RNAcentral's name for it is "partial 16S ribosomal RNA". It matches the Rfam family "Bacterial small subunit ribosomal RNA", at positions 28 to 507 of the family's 1533-position model. The record is from RNAcentral.